This 253-nucleotide ribosomal RNA is filed under the name uncultured bacterium. RNAcentral describes it as "partial 16S ribosomal RNA". It matches the Rfam family "Bacterial small subunit ribosomal RNA", at positions 524 to 776 of the family's 1533-position model. The record is from RNAcentral.
UACAGAGGGUGCAAGCGUUAAUCGGAAUUACUGGGCGUAAAGCGCGCGUAGGUGGUUUGUUAAGUUGGAUGUGAAAUCCCCGGGCUCAACCUGGGAACUGUAUCCAAAACUGGCAAGCUAGAGUAUGGUAGAGGGUGGUGGAAUUUCCUGUGUAGCGGUGAAAUGCGUAGAUAUAGGAAGGAACACCAGUGGCGAAGGCGACCACCUGGACUGAUACUGACACUGAGGUGCGAAAGCGUGGGGAGCAAACAGG